This 253-nucleotide ribosomal RNA is filed under the name uncultured bacterium. Its description in RNAcentral is "partial 16S ribosomal RNA". It matches the Rfam family "Bacterial small subunit ribosomal RNA", at positions 524 to 776 of the family's 1533-position model. The record is from RNAcentral.
UACGUAGGGUGCGAGCGUUAAUCGGAAUUACUGGGCGUAAAGCGUGCGCAGGCGGUUUUGUAAGCCAGAUGUGAAAUCCCCGGGCUCAACCUGGGAAUGGCAUUUGGGACUGCAAGGCUGGAGUUUGGCAGAGGAGACUGGAAUUCCUGGUGUAGCAGUGAAAUGCGUAGAUAUCAGGAGGAAUACCGAUGGCGAAGGCGGCAUCCUGGACCGGCAUUGACGCUGAGGCGCGAAAGCCAGGGGAGCGAACAGG